AUGAACGCUGGCGGCGUGCCUAAUACAUGCAAGUCGAGCGAACAGACGAGGAGCUUGCUCCUCUGACGUUAGCGGCGGACGGGUGAGUAACACGUGGAUAACCUACCUAUAAGACUGGGAUAACUUCGGGAAACCGGAGCUAAUACCGGAUAAUAUAUUGAACCGCAUGGUUCAAUAGUGAAAGACGGUUUUGCUGUCACUUAUAGAUGGAUCCGCGCCGCAUUAGCUAGUUGGUAAGGUAACGGCUUACCAAGGCAACGAUGCGUAGCCGACCUGAGAGGGUGAUCGGCCACACUGGAACUGAGACACGGUCCAGACUCCUACGGGAGGCAGCAGUAGGGAAUCUUACGCAAUGGGCGAAAGCCUGACGGAGCAACGCCGCGUGAGUGAUGAAGGUCUUCGGAUCGUAAAACUCUGUUAUUAGGGAAGAACAAAUGUGUAAGUAACUAUGCACGUCUUGACGGUACCUAAUCAGAAAGCCACGGCUAACUACGUG
RNAcentral lists this ribosomal RNA (496 nucleotides) under uncultured bacterium. RNAcentral describes it as "partial 16S ribosomal RNA". It matches the Rfam family "Bacterial small subunit ribosomal RNA", at positions 29 to 507 of the family's 1533-position model. The record is from RNAcentral.